Molecule: long non-coding RNA, 362 nt
Organism: Gasterosteus aculeatus aculeatus (three-spined stickleback)
Lineage: Eukaryota; Metazoa; Chordata; Actinopteri; Perciformes; Gasterosteidae
Source: Ensembl
GCUUAAGGUCAUGUGUCAAGUCAGCGUUGGCGGCUUUCCUCAAAGUUGUUUGUGUUUUUUAACUAAGGAAGGGUUUUCUUUCUGCAGGAUGAGACAAAAACAAGGAGGGUCUCUGGCAGCAUCUGUUCAUUCAGGAAUAAGAAGCAACUCGGAAAAUAUAUCUGCAUGGAGGCUGACGAGGUGCAGGAAUGUGAAGAAGCAGUCAUGAUUCAUUCCAGAGCGUGCAUUGAUUACACGCCAAAUGAACAUACGUUGCAUGCUAAUUUCCUUCCCGGGUCCUCGAGAGCAAACACCACUGUGAGAGUACGCAGUGUAAACACCUCCAUAGCAAUAACACGUCGGUGCUGAGCCACCUGAGGUCC